This 499-nucleotide ribosomal RNA is filed under the name uncultured bacterium. RNAcentral describes it as "partial 16S ribosomal RNA". It matches the Rfam family "Bacterial small subunit ribosomal RNA", at positions 28 to 507 of the family's 1533-position model. The record is from RNAcentral.
GACGAACGCUGGCGGCGUGCCUAAUACAUGCAAGUCGAGCGGACUUUCAAGAAGCUUGCUUUUUGAAAGUUAGCGGCGGACGGGUGAGUAACACGUGGGCAACCUGCCUGCAAGACGGGGAUAACUCCGGGAAACCGGGGCUAAUACCGGAUAAUAUCUUCCUUCGCAUGAAGGAAGGUUGAAAGGCGGCGCAAGCUGCCGCUUGCAGAUGGGCCCGCGGCGCAUUAGCUAGUUGGUGAGGUAACGGCUCACCAAGGCGACGAUGCGUAGCCGACCUGAGAGGGUGAUCGGCCACACUGGGACUGAGACACGGCCCAGACUCCUACGGGAGGCAGCAGUAGGGAAUCUUCCGCAAUGGCCGAAAGUCUGACGGAGCAACGCCGCGUGAGCGAAGAAGGUCUUCGGAUCGUAAAGCUCUGUUGUCAGGGAAGAACAAGUACCGUUCGAACAGGGCGGUACCUUGACGGUACCUGACCAGAAAGCCACGGCUAACUACGUG